RNAcentral lists this ribosomal RNA (253 nucleotides) under uncultured bacterium. RNAcentral describes it as "partial 16S ribosomal RNA". It matches the Rfam family "Bacterial small subunit ribosomal RNA", at positions 524 to 776 of the family's 1533-position model. The record is from RNAcentral.
UACGUAGGGUGCGAGCGUUGUCCGGAAUUAUUGGGCGUAAAGAGCUCGUAGGCGGUCUGUCGCGUCGAAUGUGAAAACCCGGGGCUCAACUCCGGGCUUGCAUUCGAUACGGGCAGACUAGAGUUCGGUAGGGGAGACUGGAAUUCCUGGUGUAGCGGUGAAAUGCGCAGAUAUCAGGAGGAACACCGGUGGCGAAGGCGGGUCUCUGGGCCGAUACUGACGCUGAGGAGCGAAAGCGUGGGGAGCGAACAGG